GACGACGCUGGCGGCGUGGAUUAGGCAUGCAAGUCGAACGGUAUCAUCCUUCGGGGGUGAGAGAGUGGUGAACUGGUGAGUAACACGUAGGUUAUCUACCCUCAAGACGGGGACAACCCAGGGAAACUUGGGCUAAUACCGGAUGUGAGCAACUUUUAGUUGUUUGAAAGGUGGCGUAAGCUGUCGCUUGGGGAUGAGCCUGCGUCCUAUUAGUUAGUUGGUGAGGUAACGGCUCACCUAGGCAAUGAUAGGUAGGCGGCCUUAACGGGUGGUCGCCCACACUGGGAUUGAGAUACGGCCCAGACUCCUACGGGAGGCAGCAGUCGAGAAUAGUCUACAAUGGUCGGAAGACUGAUAGUGCGACGCCGCGUGAACGAUGAAUCCCUUCGGGGUGUAAAGUUCUUUUAUAUGUGAGCAGUGCUUCUUAUAUUAACAGUAUGGGGAGAGAGAUAUUAGCAUAUGAAUAAGCAACGGCUAACUCCGUG
RNAcentral lists this ribosomal RNA (485 nucleotides) under uncultured bacterium. RNAcentral describes it as "bacterial SSU rRNA". It matches the Rfam family "Bacterial small subunit ribosomal RNA", at positions 33 to 507 of the family's 1533-position model. The record is from RNAcentral.